RNAcentral lists this ribosomal RNA (464 nucleotides) under uncultured bacterium. RNAcentral describes it as "partial 16S ribosomal RNA". It matches the Rfam family "Bacterial small subunit ribosomal RNA", at positions 339 to 795 of the family's 1533-position model. The record is from RNAcentral.
CUACGGGGGGCUCCAGUGGGGAAUUUUGGACAAUGGGGGCAACCCUGAUCCAGCCAUGCCGCGUGCGGGAAGAAGGCCUUCGGGUUGUAAACCGCUUUUGUCAGGGAAGAAACGCUUCGGGCUAAUACCUCGAAGUAAUGACGGUACCUGAAGAAUAAGCACCGGCUAACUACGUGCCAGCAGCCGCGGUAAUACGUAGGGUGCAAGCGUUAAUCGGAAUUACUGGGCGUAAAGCGUGCGUAGGCGGUCAUGCAAGACAGAUGUGAAAUCCCCGGGCUCAACCUGGGAACUGCAUUUGUGACUGCAUGGCUAGAGUACGGUAGAGGGGGAUGGAAUUCCGCGUGUAGCAGUGAAAUGCGUAGAUAUGCGGAGGAACACCGAUGGCGAAGGCAGUCCCCUGGACCUGUACUGACGCUCAGGUACGAAAGCGUGGGGAGCAAACAGGAUUAGAUACCCUAGUAGUC